GAAAUGCGAUAAGUAAUGUGAAUUGCAGAAUUCAGUGAAUCAUCGAAUCUUUGAACGCACAUUGCGCCCGCUGGCAUUCCGGCGGGCAUGCCCGUUCGAGCGUCAUUUCAACCCCCAACUUUUAACCGGUUGACCUCGGAUCAGACAGGGAUACCCGCUGAACUUAA
This 167-nucleotide unclassified non-coding RNA is filed under the name uncultured fungus. RNAcentral describes it as "sequence contains ITS1". The stretch from base 1 to 105 matches the Rfam family "5.8S ribosomal RNA", at positions 50 to 154 of the family's 154-position model. Rfam says of the family: 5.8S ribosomal RNA (5.8S rRNA) is a component of the large subunit of the eukaryotic ribosome. It is transcribed by RNA polymerase I as part of the 45S precursor that also contains 18S and 28S rRNA. The record is from RNAcentral. Lineage: Eukaryota; Fungi.